This 484-nucleotide ribosomal RNA is filed under the name uncultured bacterium. Its description in RNAcentral is "partial 16S ribosomal RNA". It matches the Rfam family "Bacterial small subunit ribosomal RNA", at positions 29 to 507 of the family's 1533-position model. The record is from RNAcentral.
AUUGAACGCUGGCGGCAUGCUUUACACAUGCAAGUCGAACGGCAGCGCGGGCUUCGGCCUGGCGGCGAGUGGCGAACGGGUGAGUAAUACAUCGGAACGUGCCCAGUAGUGGGGGAUAGCUCGGCGAAAGCCGGAUUAAUACCGCAUACGACCUGAGGGUGAAAGCGGGGGAUCUUCGGACCUCGCGCUAUUGGAGCGGCCGAUGGCAGAUUAGCUAGUUGGUGGGGUAAAGGCCUACCAAGGCGACGAUCUGUAGCUGGUCUGAGAGGACGACCAGCCACACUGGGACUGAGACACGGCCCAGACUCAUACGGGAGGCAGCAGUGGGGAAUUUUGGACAAUGGGCGAAAGCCUGAUCCAGCAAUGCCGCGUGUGUGAUGAAGGCCUUCGGGUUGUAAAGCACUUUUGGCGGGAACGAAAAGGACUGUACCAAUACCACGGUUCGAUGACGGUACCCGCAGAAUAAGCACCGGCUAACUACGUG